Molecule: ribosomal RNA, 497 nt
Filed under: uncultured bacterium
Lineage: Bacteria
Description: partial 16S ribosomal RNA
Rfam family: Bacterial small subunit ribosomal RNA
Source: RNAcentral
GAUGAACGCUGGCGGCGUGCCUAAUACAUGCAAGUCGAGCGAACAGACGAGGAGCUUGCUCCUCUGACGUUAGCGGCGGACGGGUGAGUAACACGUGGAUAACCUACCUAUAAGACUGGGAUAACUUCGGGAAACCGGAGCUAAUACCGGAUAAUAUAUUGAACCGCAUGGUUCAAUAGUGAAAGACGGUUUUGCUGUCACUUAUAGAUGGAUCCGCGCCGCAUUAGCUAGUUGGUAAGGUAACGGCUUACCAAGGCAACGAUGCGUAGACGACCUGAGAGGGUAGUCGGCCACACUGGAACUGAGACACGGUCCAGACUCCUACGGGAGGCAACAGUAGGGAAUCUUCCGCAAUGGGCGAAAGCCUGACGGAGCAACGCCGCGUGAGUGAUGAAGGUCUUCGGAUCGUAAAACUCUGUUAUUAGGGAAGAACAAAUGUGUAAGUAACUAUGCACGUCUUGACGGUACCUAAUCAGAAAGCCACGGCUAACUACGUG